RNAcentral lists this ribosomal RNA (761 nucleotides) under Prevotella melaninogenica. Its description in RNAcentral is "bacterial SSU rRNA". It matches the Rfam family "Bacterial small subunit ribosomal RNA", at positions 28 to 776 of the family's 1533-position model. The record is from RNAcentral. Lineage: Bacteria; Pseudomonadati; Bacteroidota; Bacteroidia; Bacteroidales; Prevotellaceae.
GAUGAACGCUAGCUACAGGCUUAACACAUGCAAGUCGAGGGGAAACGGCAUUUAGUGCUUGCACCGAAUGGACGUCGACCGGCGCACGGGUGGGUAACGCGUAUCCAACCUACCCAUUACUGUGGGAUAACCUGCCGAAAGGCAGACUAAUACCGCAUAGUCUUCGAUGACGGCAUCAGAUUUGAAGUAAAGAUUUGUCGGUAAUGGAUGGGGAUGCGUCUGAUUAGCUUGUUGGCGGGGUAACGGCCCACCAAGGCGACGAUCAGUAGGGGUUCUGAGAGGAAGGUCCCCCACAUUGGAACUGAGACACGGUCCAAACUCCUACGGGAGGCAGCAGUGAGGAAUAUUGGUCAAUGGACGAGAGUCUGAACCAGCCAAGUAGCGUGCAGGAUGACGGCCCUAUGGGUUGUAAACUGCUUUUGUAUGGGGAUAAAGUCAAUCACGUGUGAUUGUUUGCAGGUACCAUACGAAUAAGGACCGGCUAAUUCCGUGCCAGCAGCCGCGGUAAUACGGAAGGUCCGGGCGUUAUCCGGAUUUAUUGGGUUUAAAGGGAGCGUAGGCCGGAGAUUAAGUGUGUUGUGAAAUGUAGACGCUCAACGUCUGACUUGCAGCGCAUACUGGUUUCCUUGAGUACGCACAACGUUGGCGGAAUUCGUCGUGUAGCGGUGAAAUGCUUAGAUAUGACGAAGAACUCCGAUUGCGAAGGCAGCUGACGGGAGCGCAACUGACGCUUAAGCUCGAAGGUGCGGGUAUCGAACAGG